CAAAUUAAUAGGUAACAUUUAUUUUUUGAUCACAAAUUAUUUUUCAAUUACAACUUAAUAAAAUGUAAGUCACAAUCACUUCUUUUGGUCACAUAAUAUUUGUUUCACAAACAUUAACCAAUUUAUUGGUCACAAUCAAUCAAAUAAUUGGUUACAAAACCAUACCUGCCCCUAUUCCAUUCCACCCAACUACCAUUACCACAACCACUGCACCACUGCCACGACCAUCACCAUUGCCACCAUCAUAUCCACCACUAUUGGUAGAUCUACCACCACCACCAAUGUCAAUAAACCACCUCAACAUCACUGAAACCAUGGAAACCACAACCACUCUAACCAACAAAAACCACAAUUACUAACCAUGGAGACUGCUCAUCUACGGAUCGAUACAAAUCACAAACCAUGGCGCACAGUACAGUGGUGGUGAGAGGCGGGUCGAGGUUGGUGCGUAGAAUGAGGCGAUUGUGCAAGGUUGAGCGAUGUUGGCACAAUGCGAUGGUGGUGGGAAAUGGUGCAACACUACGCGAUGAUGGUAUAAUGGAGGAGAGUGGCAUCACCAGAAGGGAUGGCGGCGUCGUUAGUGGUUGGUAGAAAGAGUGAGGAGAGAAGAUGGAGAGAGGAAGAAGG
This 627-nucleotide long non-coding RNA is filed under the name Olea europaea subsp. europaea. Lineage: Eukaryota; Viridiplantae; Streptophyta; Magnoliopsida; Lamiales; Oleaceae. The record is from RNAcentral.